This 497-nucleotide ribosomal RNA is filed under the name uncultured bacterium. Its description in RNAcentral is "partial 16S ribosomal RNA". It matches the Rfam family "Bacterial small subunit ribosomal RNA", at positions 28 to 507 of the family's 1533-position model. The record is from RNAcentral.
GAUGAACGCUGGCGGCGUGCCUAAUACAUGCAAGUCGAGCGAACAGACGAGGAGCUUGCUCCUUCGACGUUAGCGGCGGACGGGUGAGUAACACGUAGGUAACCUACCUAUAAGACUGGGAUAACUUCGGGAAACCGGAGCUAAUACCGGAUAAUAUUUCGAACCGCAUGGUUCGAUAGUGAAAGAUGGCUUUGCUAUCACUUAUAGAUGGACCUGCGCCGUAUUAGCUAGUUGGUAAGGUAACGGCUUACCAAGGCAACGAUACGUAGCCGACCUGAGAGGGCGAACGGCCACACUGGAACUGAGACACGGUCCAGACUCCUACGGGAGGCAGCAGUAGGGAAUCUUCCGCAAUGGGCGAAAGCCUGACGGAGCAACGCCGCGUGAGUGAUGAAGGUCUUCGGAUCGUAAAACUCUGUUAUUAGGGAAGAACAAACGUGUAAGUAACUGUGCACGUCUUGACGGUACCUAAUCAGAAAGCCACGGCUAACUACGUG